Daphnia magna is the source of this 157-nucleotide long non-coding RNA. RefSeq lists it as uncharacterized. The record is from RefSeq and is a predicted model, not a curated record. Lineage: Eukaryota; Metazoa; Arthropoda; Branchiopoda; Diplostraca; Daphniidae. The transcript is spliced from 3 exons.
AGGAACCGAUAGCCAUCACCCGUCGUCUGGUCAGCCAACAUGGCGCCACUUUUACCAAUGCCUUCAUCUCGACCCCAGUUUGCUGUCCGAGCCAGUCGUCCAUAUUGACAGGCAAAUACGUUUAUAGCCAUCGGGUCAUCAAUAAUACGGUGACGGG